GAGCGGUAACACAUGCAAGUCGAACGGGAUUCAGUAGCUUGCUACUGAUGAGAGUGGCGCACGGGUGAGUAACGCGUAUGCAACCUACUUCUUCCAGGGGGUCCGACCGGAGACCACGGAUUGAUAUCCUACGGUAUUUAUUGUACGGAUGGAUAGUUAUUAAUGACUCAUCGGUAAGAGAUGGGCCCGCGUGACAUCCUUUUGUUGGUGAGGUAACGGCUCAGCCUCACUACGAUGUCUAGGGGUUCUGAGAGGAUGAUCCCCCACACUGGUACUGAAACACGGACCAGACUCCUACGGGAGGUUAGUCGAGGAACUUGGUCCUGGGCGCAAGCCUGAACCAACCUUCCCGCGUUAAGGAAGAUGGCCCUAUGGGUUGUGUCUUCCUUCUUGUACCUUUGUGGGCCUUACGUGUAAGGUUUUGACGGUACUGCAAGACUUUGCAUCGGCAAACUCCGUGCCAGCAGCCGCGGUAAUACUAAGGAUGCAAGCGUUAUCCGGAUUCAUUGGGUUUAAAGGGUGCGUAUGCGGAUAGGUAAGUCAGUGGUGAAAUCCUACAGCUCAACUGUAGAACUGCCAUUGAUACUGUCUAUCUUGAAUGUAAAUGAAGUGGAGGAAUGUAACAUGUAGCGGUGAAAUGCAUAAUAUGCUACAGAACAACAAUUGCGAAGGCACUCACUAAUAUACAACUGACGCUCAUGCACGAAAGCGUGGGGAUCAAAUAGGAUUAGAUACCCUGGUCGUUCACACUGUAAACGAUGAUUACUCGUUCUUGGCGAUACACAGCCAUCGACCAAUCUAAAGUGAAAAGUAAAUCAACCUGGGGAAGUCCGAUCGCAAGGUUGAAACUAAAAGGAAAUUGACGGGGCCCGCAUAAAGUGGGGGACCAUC
RNAcentral lists this ribosomal RNA (891 nucleotides) under bacterium enrichment culture clone PAH2-P20. RNAcentral's name for it is "bacterial SSU rRNA". It matches the Rfam family "Bacterial small subunit ribosomal RNA", at positions 43 to 941 of the family's 1533-position model. The record is from RNAcentral.